AUGCCUCCUACCUAUGAUGAUUAUAUUGAUGAAAGUGGGUUCGGAAGAGUGUCAACUUUAGGAAGUAGUGAUCCCACUAUUUUGGAGGAUGUUGAAUUUUAUUUUGAUGAAUACGAAAGUGGAUUUGGAAGAGUGUCAACUUUAUUUAGUGAUUCCACUAUCUUGGGAGAGGUUUCAAUCGAUUAUGAUGAGAACGAAGUUGCUACUUAUGAUGAUUAUAGUGAUGAAACUUAUGCUAUAAAAAGUAGUGAUGAUUAUAUUUACAAAUCUUGUCAUGAUUAUGAUUACCCUUUUUUGAACAUUACUCUUUUAUUGUGGAAACAAUUUUUAGUGUUCAAGUCUCUUAUGAUACUCCCACAAUUCCGAAUGAGAAGAAUUUUGCUUAUGUGGAGAGUAGUAAAUUUUCUAUGCUUGUAG
RNAcentral lists this ribosomal RNA (417 nucleotides) under Triticum aestivum (bread wheat). RNAcentral's name for it is "partial small subunit ribosomal RNA". The record is from RNAcentral. Lineage: Eukaryota; Viridiplantae; Streptophyta; Magnoliopsida; Poales; Poaceae.